Molecule: ribosomal RNA, 434 nt
Filed under: Papilio rutulus (western tiger swallowtail)
Lineage: Eukaryota; Metazoa; Arthropoda; Insecta; Lepidoptera; Papilionidae
Description: partial small subunit ribosomal RNA
Source: RNAcentral
UUCUUUCUAGAAACACUUUCCAGUACCUCUACUUUGUUACGACUUAUUCCAAUUUAUUAAUGAAAGCGACGGGCAAUAUGUACAUAUUUCAAUUUUUAAUCAUUUUAAUAAAUUAAAUAAAAUUACAUUUAAAUCCACCUUCCAAUAUUUAUUAAAAAAUAUUAUUCAUUUAAUUAUUUCUUAUUGUAAUCCAUUUUAUUCUUAAUUAUAAUCUGCAUCUUGAUCUGAAUUAAUUUAUUUUAAAAAUUUUUAAAUAUUAUUUUUAUUAAAAAAUAUUUUUUUAACAACGAUAUACAAAAUUUAUAAAUUAAGUAAAUUUAUUCGUGGAUUAUCAAUUAUUAAACAGAUUCCUCUAAAUGAACUAAAAUACCGCCAAAUUAUUUAAGUUUCUAUAAAUAAUCAUAUACUAUUUUAGUAUUUUAAUUUAAUUUUUA